This is a non-coding RNA of Saimiri boliviensis boliviensis (Bolivian squirrel monkey), 407 nucleotides long. Lineage: Eukaryota; Metazoa; Chordata; Mammalia; Primates; Cebidae. The record is from RefSeq and is a predicted model, not a curated record.
UGUAUCUGUUGCUCCAAGGGUCACUGAAGCAAAGAAUACAGUGAAUUGGUUUGAAACUCACAAGUCUCAACCUUUAGAAUGGAAGUUCUCAUCCUGGCUGGCCUUUUGAGCACUGCCACUGCUCUGCCCAUCCCCCUUGAACAAUAUGGUGGAAGUUCCAGUGAACAGAGAUUUAUCUUUUUCCCACCACAAGUAGCACCAUUUUUCCCUCAGGUCCAAUUUCCCCUACUUCCACAAUCACCCCUGGUCCUCACACCUAACGAUCUUAUAGCGUUAUUCAUUGCUAUUUUGAACCAAUUAGGGAUUUCAUUUCCUUGACUAAAUUGAUAAAAAAAUAAUUCUCCCACUACUAUGUCAGAAGUUACAUAUGGUGGUGCUGGAUAUUUACAGUUAUGAAAAGAUUAUCU